CUCCCGGUUGAUCCCCGCCGGACCCGACUGCUAUCAGAGUGAGAUUAAGCCAUGCGAGUUAACGUAGCAAUACGUGGCGCACGGCUCAGUAACACGUAGUCAACAUGCCCAGAGGACGUGGAUAACCUCGGGAAACUGAGUCUAAACCGCGAUAAGUGAGGAUUUCUGGAAUGGUUCCUGACUAAAAUCUAUAUGGCCUCUGGAUUGGACUGCGGCCGAUCAGGCUGUUGGUGAGGUAAUGGCCCACCAAACCUGUAACCGGUACGGGCUCUGAGAGGAGGAGCCCGGAGAUGGGCACUGAGACAAGGGCCCAGGCCCUAUGGGGCGCAGCAGGCGCGAAACCUCUGCAAUAGGCGAAAGCCUGACAGGGUUACUCUGAGUGACUUUCGCUAAGAAAGUCUUUUGGCACCUCUAAAAAGGGUGCAGAAUAAGGGGUGGGCAAGUCUGGUGUCAGCCGCCGCGGUAAUACCAGCACCCCGAGUGGUCGGGACGAUUAUUGGGCCUAAAGCAUCCGUAGCCGGUUCUGCAAGUCCCCCGUUAAAUCCAGCUGCUCAACAGAUGGGCCGCGGAGGAUACUACAGAGCUAGGAGGCAGGAGAGGCAAGCGGUACUCAGUGGGUAGGGGUAAAAUCCGUUGAUCCAUUGAAGACCACCAGUGGCGAAGGCGGCUUGCCAGAAUGCGCUCGACGGUGAGGGAUGAAAGCUGGGGGAGCAAACCGGAUUAGAUACCCGGGUAGUCCCAGCCGUAAACGAUGCAGACUCGGUGAUGGGUUGGCUUCGCGCUAACCCAGUGCCGCAGGGAAGCCGUUAAGUCUGCCGCCUGGGGACGUACGGUCGCAAGACUGAAACUUAAGGAAUUGGCGGGGGAGCA
Molecule: ribosomal RNA, 870 nt
Filed under: uncultured archaeon
Lineage: Archaea
Description: bacterial SSU rRNA
Rfam family: Archaeal small subunit ribosomal RNA
Source: RNAcentral